CCUACGGGUGGCAGCAGUGAGGAAUAUUGGUCAAUGGGCGCGAGCCUGAACCAGCCAAGUCGCGUGAGGGAAGACGGUCCUAUGGAUCGUAAACCUCUUUUGUCGGGGAGCAAAAGAUGACACGCGUGCCGUUUCGAGUGUACCUGAUGAAAAAGCAUCGGCUAACUCCGUGCCAGCAGCCGCGGUAAUCCGGAGGAUGCGAGCGUUAUCCGGAUGUAUUGGGUUUAAAGGGUGCGUAGUCGGAAGAUCAAGUCAGCGGUAAAAUUGUUGGGCUCAACCUCUUCGAGCCGUUGAAACUGGUGUUCUUGAGUGAGCGAGAGGUAGGCGGAAUGCGUGGUGUAGCGGUGAAAUGCAUAGAUAUCACGCAGAACUCCGAUUGCGAAGGCAGCAUACCGGGGCUCGACUGACGCUCAUGCACGAAAGUGUGGGUAUCGAACAGGAUUAGAUACCCCUGUAGUC
RNAcentral lists this ribosomal RNA (459 nucleotides) under uncultured bacterium. Its description in RNAcentral is "partial 16S ribosomal RNA". It matches the Rfam family "Bacterial small subunit ribosomal RNA", at positions 338 to 795 of the family's 1533-position model. The record is from RNAcentral.